GACGAACGCUGGCGGCGUGCUUAACACAUGCAAGUCGAACGGAAAGGCCCGGCUGUUGUCGGAUGCUCGAGUGGCGAACGGGUAAGAAACACGUGAGUAACCUGCCCUUGACUUUGGGAUAACUUCAGGAAACCGGGGCUAAUACCGGAUAGGAGCUCCUGCUGCAUGGUGGGGGUUGGAAAGUGUCGGCGGAUGGGGAUGGAGUGGGGGCUUAUCAGCUUGUGGGUGGGGUAUUGGCUUACGAAGACUUGGAAGGGUAGCCCGCCUGAGAGGGGGACCGGCCACAAGAGGACUGAGGUAGGGCGCAGACGCCUACGGGAGGCAGCAGGGGGGAAUAUUGCACAAUGGGCGGAAGCGUGAUGCGGCAACGCUGCGUGUGGGAAGAGGUCCUUCGGGGUGUGAACCGCUUUCGCCUGUGACCAAGCGUGCGUGACGGCACUGGCUAAAGAAGCACCGGCUAACUACGUG
RNAcentral lists this ribosomal RNA (468 nucleotides) under uncultured bacterium. RNAcentral describes it as "partial 16S ribosomal RNA". It matches the Rfam family "Bacterial small subunit ribosomal RNA", at positions 28 to 507 of the family's 1533-position model. The record is from RNAcentral.